This is a non-coding RNA of Myotis davidii, 73 nucleotides long. The record is from Rfam. NCBI's taxonomy places the organism in Eukaryota, Metazoa, Chordata, Mammalia, Chiroptera, Vespertilionidae.
GCUGGUGUGGCUCACUAGAUAGAGCAUCAGGCUGGAGACUGAAGAGUUCCAGGUUCGAUUCCGGUCAAGGGCA